GUUUGGACACCCGAAGUCCCGAACCUACAGGAAAACCAAACAUCCAAGAUUCCAAGUCUUCCUUACAAAUUACUGGUAAAUAUCUCAGUGAAAACUAAGAAUGCCUGGUGGUGUUUAAUCUAAAAACUUUUACAUCGGAAUACCUAAAAAAAACUGCUCGUGAUAUUUGGGAGUACCACUUACGUUUUCCUAAUGGUGGUCUCGCUUGAAACCAUGCAGCAAUCACAUCUAUAAGAACUAUAUUAGUGCACAUGGGAAGGACUUUGCAUCAAUUGUAAAUUGUAUUCAGAUGAAAAUUGCAAAUGUGUUAUUCCGUUAAGAGGAUCCCCUAAAUUUCACUUGGGUUAUUAUUAUUGUGGGUUAGCAGCACAAGGCUAUUGUUCCCUGAUUAGUUCCGUAAAGGAUUCGAGAAAAUUUAGUCUGCUUUCGUCAUUACCAAACAUUGCCAAAAAACUGAGCAUCGUGGACUCGUGGUGCAUUGCAUUGUGUAAAACCCACAAGUUUUCAAGUGCCUUUGAUCCUUUGAUUAAGCAGCUGUGCAUAGGCUUUUGCAAAAAGGAAUGAGGGUUAGUGCUAAAUAAAAAGAAGUAUUAGAAUUUUACCAAGCUAAUAUCUUGUGCAGACAUCAGAGAACCCCAUAUGAAGUGAACACUAGUAAGGGUGUAGCAGUUUCGGACAGCAACAUUUGGACUUUCAUCAUGGUUACUGUUGUUGGGCUACUGUGUUUCUCCCCCACUCCUUCCCAGAUGUUGGAUGGCAGAUGUUGGUUAUUUAUGAUUGGUAUUUCCAUUCAGAAUUUCCAAUGAAACACUUGGUUAGCACUUGUACCAACAUGCAAAUUUCAGUUGGUGAAUUGAAUUCAGGAAUGCCCUUGUUGCAACAUUGGAUUGGAUUGGAUCAGAAUGCAUAGCUGUCUUUCUUUGGCACAGGGAAGGACAUUUAUUGCUUCAACCCAUGUGCAUGUGCUUCAGUUAAUCUUGAUGUGGUUGUGCGGCCUUGCUAUUGCUAGAUACUUGGGGUCUGAAAUGCUACAUCUCAUCUCUCCCAAUUUGCAAAGAAGCUGCUGGGUGCUGGAGUAAUCUAGUCUCCAUCGCACUUGACUCAUUUCAUUUUCUGGAUUGCUUAGGAAGCCUCCUUGGUAUUAUCAAGUAAGUUAAUGACCGAGAGAAUACGGCCUACCGACUGUGAACAUCAGAAGGCCAGCAUCUCGUCAGCAUCUCUACGACAUAGACUUAGCGCUGACAUCGAACAUCGAAAAUCUUGUUUACUGUAGAUUUAUUCUUUGUAAAAUUUCUUUAUCAAAAUAGUUUUGAGGGACUGCUUAAUUCAACUUUACUCCUGUCAAUGUGUUCAACAUUAUUAAUCUAGCUGUUCCCUAAUAGUAAUUUCAGUUUGUAAAAUAUUAGGUUCAACAGCCAGGUGAAAUCUCUUCUUCAUUGGUGUCCAACACAACACAUUUCUAACAAGGCUCAACUGUGUGCACAUCAUGAAUAUGGAUUGAUCAUGUGUUAGAAACUUAGAUAAGGUUGCAGAGGAAUAUUUUCAUAAAAGCCAACUGUCCUUCAAACGGUUCGAAAUGGAAGA
Molecule: long non-coding RNA, 1584 nt
Organism: Daphnia pulex (common water flea)
Lineage: Eukaryota; Metazoa; Arthropoda; Branchiopoda; Diplostraca; Daphniidae
Exons: 5
Source: RefSeq, a predicted model, not a curated record